CAUUUAGAAAAUGAAAAAAAAAAAUCAUUUGACUGGAAAAAUAAUUCGCAGAUAUUUGCGCCACAGUUAUAGUCAGUUAGUGAGUUGUGUUUAAGGCAACAUGCAUAGCUUCUGCAAAACAAUGCUUCCAUUUGUAAUAUUUCAGCUCAGUUUCCACAGUUCAAUUCAUUUUCAAUUCAGUUUUAUUUCUAUAGCGCUUUUAACAGUGGACACUGUUACAAAAAAAAAAAAACAACUUUAAAGAAUAAGAACUAGGAUAAUUAAGAAAGGGUUGCCGAGCAGAACUGCAUUUUAAGACAGUAAGGAUUGUUGUCACCUGAGCUCUAUAGCAUUACUUUUUGUUGGAUCAUUAACAGAGGAUGUCAUUAUGUCAUUAGCUUUCUCCAUCAUCAUAUUCAUCCAGUCUUGCUUUAUGCUUUCAGAGCUACUUAGAAACUCACUUAAAUCUGUCAGGACAUUCAUUUUUAUUCCAAAAAAGGCAGAGAUGUUUAUAUCUUCCUCUUUAAUGAUAACCAAAAGCCUGAUCUUUACUGCUCUCUGAGGUAUUAGGCACUAGUACAAAGGGUUAGUAAGACAUUGGGGUUGGGGAUGCCUUUAAGCUGAUACAGGUACAGCAGGUGUACUACACCAGUGUGCAAGCUGACUCAAGAGCAAAGUGUUUGGUGUAUACAUAUCAUUUUAUAUAUAUAUAAGUGUAUAUGAUAGAACCCUAAGCAUAAGCAGAAUGCUGAUUGAGGAGAGAGAACAGUAUAGGUCUGUGUGUGCUUAGUGAUGGAGGACAAUUACAUGUAGUUCAGAACAGAACACGCCUUCAUGAAAGACAAAGAGGGACGGGAGAUAAAUGCAGGUGGAAUCGAUAGAAUCGUUUUGGAAGUCUAGUUGUAGAAACCAACUUCUAAGUGACUAGUGAAACAGAGAGGAGACGCUAAGUGGAGUGUACAAACAACUGAAAAUUUGACAGGGAGACGUGUGUCUUGAUUUUCAUUAGACAAAAGGCAUUCAGGUAUUAUAGUACUACCACUACUUCAUCCCAACUUCAGCCAUUUAUAUAUCAAUGCUAUUUGGGAAGUGUUUUUCGAGUCACUCUAAAAAGCUUUGGUGUUGGAGGGAUCAAAACACAAGAAACAGUAGGGAACUGACUGCAGUUAACAUCUUACUAUCCUCUUGAACACCAAAAGACCAUGUCAAGAAGCCAUCGGUCCUAG
Ictalurus punctatus (channel catfish) is the source of this 1205-nucleotide long non-coding RNA. Lineage: Eukaryota; Metazoa; Chordata; Actinopteri; Siluriformes; Ictaluridae. The record is from Ensembl.